RNAcentral lists this ribosomal RNA (778 nucleotides) under uncultured Neocallimastigales. RNAcentral describes it as "partial large subunit ribosomal RNA". It matches the Rfam family "Eukaryotic large subunit ribosomal RNA", at positions 24 to 633 of the family's 3401-position model. The record is from RNAcentral. Lineage: Eukaryota; Fungi; Neocallimastigomycota; Neocallimastigomycetes; Neocallimastigales.
UAUGUGAUCGUCUCUCGCAUAUCAAUAAGCGGAGGAAAAGAAACUAACAAGGAUUCCCCUAGUAACGGCGAGUGAAGCGGGAAGAGCUCAAAUUUGAAAUCUUAAAGGGUUUCCCUUUACGAAUUGUAGUUUAAAGAAGUGUUUUCUGUUGAGGUUUUGGUAAAAGUUCUUUGGAAUAGGACAUCAUAGAGGGUGAGAAUCCCGUAUUUGACCUUUACUUUCAACUUUGUGAUACACUUUCAAAGAGUCGGAUUGUUUGGGAAUGCAGUCCAAAAUGGGUGGUAAAUUUCAUCUAAAGCUAAAUAUUGGCGAGAGACCGAUAGCGAACAAGUACCGUGAGGGAAAGAUGAAAAGAACUUUGAAAAGAGAGUUAAACAGUACGUGAAAUUGUCAAAAGGGAAGCGUUUGACACCAGUGUUGUUUUUCUGAAAAUCAAUUAAAGAACUGUUUAUGCUAAGCUUGUUUAGACUUUAUCAGCUAAUCUGUUUAGUUUUGAGCUUUUCUUUAAUGCACUUUUCAGUUAACAAGUCAACAUCAAUUUCUUUUGCUGUAAAAAAGCUUGAGGAAGGUGGCUUGAGAUUCGUCUUAAGGUGUUUAUAGCCUCUUGCCUAUGCAGUCGGAGAGAUUGAGGUCUGCAGCGUAGAUCCUUCGGGGCUAAAUGCAUUUGUGCUAAGUUAUAGGCAUUUUAUAGACAACUUGUUGACUAUGAUUUGUCUUGUAGCUUACUCGCUUAUGUUAUUUUACCUACGCUUAGGAUGUUGAAGACUCUACAGAGAUA